This is a long non-coding RNA of Carassius auratus (goldfish), 1298 nucleotides long. RefSeq lists it as uncharacterized. The record is from RefSeq and is a predicted model, not a curated record. The transcript is spliced from 4 exons. Lineage: Eukaryota; Metazoa; Chordata; Actinopteri; Cypriniformes; Cyprinidae.
GAAACAACAGAUGCUAACACAUGUAAUCUAACACGAUCAUCUGACAUUAAACAGCAUAAAAGCUGCAACGUUAUGGAAUAAAAUAUCGACCAAUGACAAGCAUUCAUUCUCGUGGGUCUGUUCCGGUUCCGUGUUUCACUGUGGAUUACUUUGUCAUCACCCGGACCUUUCAUCAUCUUUCACCAGCGUACUUAAUUCACCAUCUCACCCGUCCUGUGCUGUCAUCGAGGUCCCUGUGCCACCCGCCGUCAGCUGAUGCCUUUCUCAUUCAUUUCUGUCAAUAAACUGUAACUUGCAAUUUGCUUCCUGUCUUCAAUCCCUGACAGAAUGAUCUGACCACUAUGGAAACAGCAUGUUCCUGCAUGGGUUGGCUGACCGUGUCCAGAGAGAGAUCUACAUCCUAGAUCUUCUGACUUCUCUCAAUGGACUCAUUGAGUUGGCACUAAGAGUAGAUGCAUGACUGUCCCGAGUAGAGCGACGGACCCUACCCAGUCAUACUACGAGAGACCCUGCUGGUACACGAGUCAGCAGUGGGGACGCAGUCAGCCCUGUCCACGAUCACGAGCCCAUGCAGGUGGGGCGAGCUCGGCUUUCCCAGAGGAGAAGGAGAUGCGGAGAUCCCAGGGCCUUUGCCUCUAUUGCGGGGAGCUGGUCAUCACGCCUACAUCUGUCCAGUAAAAGUAUGAGGCUACUAUCGGGUGGGAUCUCCACCGAGAAGACCUCAUCAUUAUCUACACUUCUUCCAGUAAGUUUCAUGAGUCUUGUCUUGUGUCUGCCUGUCCAUCUGUUUCUGUGUCUGUGUUUCAGGAGGAAGCAGUGAAUUUGUCAAACGUGCCCGCGGAGUACCUCGACAUGAAGGAAGUAAUGCUGCUUCUCUUCUUCUGCAUCACCCCUAUGACUGUGCCAUAGAUUUGCUGUCAGGAAUAUGUGCAGCAUGUCCGACGAGUGCUUCAGAGGUUGCUAGAGAAUGGGCUUUUUGUCAAGGCGAAGAAAUGUGCUUUUCAUGCUGUGGUGGGGGAUGCGUGGUUCAGCGAGGUCUGUGACGGGAGAGAGAGCGAGGAGACGAGCGGCGAUAUGACCAUGUUAGACAACGCCCACCACCCUCCAGCUCACCAGCAGCAGAUAACACUGACAGAGCCAGUAGUGCGGGAGCAUCAGUUCCAAGAACGGGACCCAAAAAAGAAAAUGCAUGACUAUUCACACAACCUUCACAUCAUAGAAAGGGACAUCAAAGCAAAAUUCCUCUAAUUUCACUAUGAUAUGAAAUGUAACAAAAUGUAAAAAAAAUAAAUAAAUCU